Molecule: non-coding RNA, 152 nt
Organism: Gasterosteus aculeatus (three-spined stickleback)
Lineage: Eukaryota; Metazoa; Chordata; Actinopteri; Perciformes; Gasterosteidae
Source: Rfam
GCUUACGGCCAUACCUCUCUGGCUCCGCCUGAUCUCGUCUGAUCUCAGAAGCUAAGCAGAGUAGGGCCUGGUUAGUAGCAGAAGCUAAGCAGAGUAGGGCCUGGUUAGUACUUGGAUGGAAGACCGCCUGGGAAUCCCAGGUGCCGUAAGCU